RNAcentral lists this ribosomal RNA (267 nucleotides) under Triticum aestivum (bread wheat). Its description in RNAcentral is "partial small subunit ribosomal RNA". The record is from RNAcentral. Lineage: Eukaryota; Viridiplantae; Streptophyta; Magnoliopsida; Poales; Poaceae.
AUGGAUGGAAUCAAAUACGCAGUAUUUACAGAAAAAAGUCUUCAUUUAGGAAAGAAUCAAUAUACUUUUAAUGUCGAAUCGGGAUUCACUAAGACAGAAAUAAAGCAUUGGGUCGAACUCUUCUUUGGUGUUAAGGUGGUAGCUGUGAAUAGCCAUCGACUACCUGGAAAAGGUAGAAGAAUAGGACCUAUUCUGGGCCAUACAAUGCAUUACAGAUCGUAUGAUCAUUACCCUUCAACCGGGUUAUUCUAUUACACUUCUAGAUAG